RNAcentral lists this ribosomal RNA (1815 nucleotides) under Triticum aestivum (bread wheat). Its description in RNAcentral is "partial small subunit ribosomal RNA". The record is from RNAcentral. Lineage: Eukaryota; Viridiplantae; Streptophyta; Magnoliopsida; Poales; Poaceae.
AUGAGCGUUAAUUACGGAGCCCCUGCUGGGGCGAUACCGAGGCGAUCGCCUGCCAUUGCCACCACCCAGGGGCGUGCGGCGGAUUUAUCGGAUCCGGCGAGAAAGGAAAUCUCCGCUAGUAGCGAGGAGUGGUUCUGUGAUCGGAAUGAUCCCCUGGGCCUGCGGGAGACUUGGAUCAGGGCAAGGGCUUCGGUCCGAAAGCUGGUAGAAAAAGAGAAGAAGAAUAGUCUUGUCCGGCAACAGAUCAGAGGAGAUCGGGAUCCCUUUUGUUCGGGCAUUGUCAAAAUCAAAGCCAGGAUGGAGCUGCUAAGGCAGGAUCUGGGGAUUGGUAUCUCGAUUGGGAAUCAAGAAUCAGAAGGAAACGAUUGUGAUCCCUUGUGGAGAGCAGAUCCGCCUGAUAAAGGAAAGGGAGGAAAUCACCCACGGGAGGGGAGGGGAUCCGGGGCUGAUGGGGAAUCGCAUCAUACGAUCAAUCAACCGAUUCAGGCACAAGGAAAGCAAGGUUCCAUGAGUAUAAAGGUGCAUGAAGAGGAGUCGUCCAUCACACAAUCUGCGAGAAGAGCUGUCACAACCAACCCCCUGUCUGCAAUGGCUGGCCAGGACCAACGCAAGAACAAGGCAGUGAUGGACGCGAGUGAGGAGGUCACCUCCAAUGGCAAGCCAGGGAUGGGGCACCGUCCCUUACUCCGGGGCGGCUCAUCCAGGGGCCGGGGCGAUGGCUUCCGUACCCCCGUUGGCCAGGGGGUGACCGGCAUUCAAGCAGCAAGGUAUGAUGAAAGGGAGCAGGUUGUGGCUCCUGUGUUUCCUGUCAGCAUGGAAAUACAGGCGCCAAAUGUUGUGCAGCUGAAUCUAGCCAGAGAGAGGACGGCAAUGCGCUCGAGGUGGAUAGCCGUCGGGCUGUUCUUCUCUGUGCAGGUUUUCGGCUUCGUGGGCUUGUUCAACGAGCUCAAGAGCAAGUGGGGGCUUCGUGGGCGCCUCAACUACACACCUAUGAAGAAUAACCGCUUCCUCCUCGAGUUCGAGCGGGAGGGGGACCUUCGGUUCAUCCUCAACAACGGCCCCUGCACGCAGAAGGGCGACGCCUUCCUCAUGGUAGCUGUGGACGGGAGCGCACGGCCGGGAGACGUGGAGGUUGCCCACAUGGCAAUGUGGGCUCGCAUCUAUGAUGCCCCACCGAUCAUGCUUUUUGAAUCGGUGGCUCGUGAACUCGGCGCUGAGCUCGGCGAGGUGCUGGAAGUGGACGCAGACAGUGAGGGCAGGAUAUGGGGUAACUACAUGCGAGUUCGUGUUAAUCAUGAUGUCGAUGAACCUAUCCGUAGCAAGUUGGAGUCAUAUGAUAGUACUGAGGGGAAGUGGUAUGAGCUGAAUGUAAAGUAUGAAAGGCUUCCUAGGUUCUGUAGCUCAUGUGGUCAUCUAGGUCACAGUCAGCGCGAUUGUAAGCUGCCCGAAGAUCUCCAAGAGAUGAGAUACUCGGCAGCAAUGCGCGCAUCCCCAUUUAAGAGGAGUAGCAGUAGGGGUGGAGUCAUUGUACCAGAGGCGAGCAGUGCCCGUCGCUUCCUCCUCUUUGACUCAGAGGCCAAAGGAACACCAGUUGAGGCCACCAAAAGGUCACUGGUGGUAAGGCCUGGAAUGGUUCCUGAGGAGGUGUUGGCAGACCCUCUAGUACAGGAAGCCAUUGAGGCUGUAAGCGCUCUCUGCCUGGACGCGGGAAGAAAUGGGGGCCCUGCCGAAGCACUGAAAUCAAAGGAUGCAAUAGCAGCGAAUAUCAUUCAGGCUGGAGCAAUGUCUGAUGGAGACAAAACCCCACGGGGCUAA